This 301-nucleotide ribosomal RNA is filed under the name uncultured bacterium. RNAcentral's name for it is "partial 16S ribosomal RNA". It matches the Rfam family "Bacterial small subunit ribosomal RNA", at positions 509 to 807 of the family's 1533-position model. The record is from RNAcentral.
CAGUAGCCGCGGUAAUACGGAGGGUGCAAGCGUUACUCGGAAUCACUGGGCGUAAAGGACGCGUAGGCGGAUUAUCAAGUCUCUUGUGAAAUCUAACGGCUUAACCGUUAAACUGCUUGGGAAACUGAUAAUCUAGAGUAAGGGAGAGGCAGAUGGAAUUCUUGGUGUAGGGGUAAAAUCCGUAGAUAUCAAGAAGAAUACCUAUUGCGAAGGCGAUCUGCUGGAACUUAACUGACGCUAAUGCGUGAAAGCGUGGGGAGCAAACAGGAUUAGAUACCCCCGUAGUCCCUGUCUCUUAUAC